ACAGGGGGGCUACCGGCUAAGACGAAGCCGAUUCAGAUUGGAGCAAAUCGAACAUCGAUUUGAUUCUGUCGUACCGCGUAAGCAGCCAAGAUGGCGAUCCCCGAUUCGUGACGUCACAUGAAGUUCGGCAAGCCGAUUGAACGAAUGAUUUCAGUACUUUUGACACUAAAUCGCUACCGCGUAAAAAAUCGAAGUUCGGCGCCUGAAGCCGAUUCCCAUUGGAAGUGUCAGUUGAAGCCGGGCACUUUUCAGUAACCGUGAUCAAUUUUAAUUUCUUAUUUUCACUGUUUUUCAACAAUAUUAGGAGCUAUUUACGGUGGGCGACAAAUUUUAGGAACAUCUUAAUCAAUAUAAAAUUGAUAUCGGCGUGGAUUUUCGUGUUUAAAUACCUAAAUACAGUGUCAUGGAGAUAGUCGUUUUAUGGGCUGCUGCGGAAGAAAAUGUCUUCAGAAUCUUGAGCAAAUCGAUUGCAGGAUACUUCGAGAGAAAAGCCAGUAUAUACUUCUCACAGAGAGUAGCUACAUUAAUAAUUUUAGAUUAUCAAAAGAUGCAUUUCGGACUUUGUAUCAUGACUUAGGACCAUAUCUGGAGGUCCAAUGCUCUACAACUGUGCAAUCGACUUUAAGUGACAAAUGCCCUCAAUCAGCCUGCAAUCGUGAGAUAAUAUAUCAAGUUUCCUCGGACAAAAACUGAGCAUGUAGAAGUCUCCAGAGGUUUUAAUGACAAAUUUGGAUUUCUUGGAGUACUUGGAUGCAUCCACGGCACACACAUUGCCAUUAUCCAACCUCACAAGUGGGAAGAGGCCUUCUUCAAUAGCAAGUAUUACCAUUCAUUGCAUGUUAUGUUGGUUUGUGAUGGAGAUAUGUGCAUUACAUUUGUGAUGCAUCCAAUGGGAGUGUUAGUGCUAGACUGCUAGCCAAGAUAACCAUAUUUGGAACAACAGCACUUUGAGAAGGGAAAAGGAACAUCUCCUUAAUUUAAAUAUGUUUAAGUUCAUUAAGUGGACUUGUGUGGUCCUUGAAAUGUAAAUUACAAAGUCAGUGUGGUGUAAUCAAAAGUGGCAGAUUUGUUAUUCAAUAAUACAACAUCUAAACAAACCUUUCUUUAUUGGCAUCAAAUAAACUAUUUUCAUUACGCAGAUUUA
This 1144-nucleotide long non-coding RNA is filed under the name Pectinophora gossypiella (pink bollworm). RNAcentral describes it as "uncharacterized LOC126367138". Lineage: Eukaryota; Metazoa; Arthropoda; Insecta; Lepidoptera; Gelechiidae. The record is from RNAcentral.